Molecule: ribosomal RNA, 254 nt
Filed under: uncultured bacterium
Lineage: Bacteria
Description: partial 16S ribosomal RNA
Rfam family: Bacterial small subunit ribosomal RNA
Source: RNAcentral
UACGUAGGGGGGCAAGCGUUGUCCGGAUUUAUUGGGCGUAAAGAGCUUGUAGGCGGUUUGUCGCGUCUGCCGUGAAAUUUCGAGGCUCAACCUCGAACUUGCGGUGGGUACGGGCAGACUAGAGUGUGGUAGGGGAGACUGGAAUUCCUGGUGUAGCGGUGAAAUGCGCAGAUAUCAGGAGGAACACCGAUGGCGAAGGCAGGUCUCUGGGCCACUACUGACGCUGAGAAGCGAAAGCAUGGGGAGCGAACAGG